RNAcentral lists this transfer RNA (74 nucleotides) under Candidatus Woesearchaeota archaeon. Its description in RNAcentral is "tRNA-Thr". It matches the Rfam family "tRNA". Rfam says of the family: Transfer RNA (tRNA) molecules are approximately 80 nucleotides in length. Their secondary structure includes four short double-helical elements and three loops (D, anti-codon, and T loops). The record is from RNAcentral. Lineage: Archaea; Nanobdellati; Candidatus Woesearchaeota.
GCCUCGGUAGCUUAGUAGCUUAUAGCAGCGGUUUUGUAAACCGCAGGUCGUGGGUGCAACUCCCUCCCGAGGCU